Molecule: ribosomal RNA, 245 nt
Filed under: uncultured bacterium
Lineage: Bacteria
Description: partial 16S ribosomal RNA
Rfam family: Bacterial small subunit ribosomal RNA
Source: RNAcentral
UACGAGGUGUGCAAGCGUUGCUCGGAAUCACUGGGCAUAAAGGGUGCGUAGGCUGUGCGGUCAGUCGGAUGUGAAAUCCCCCGGCUUAACCGGGGAAUUGCAUCCGAUACUACCGCGCUUGAGGGCGAAAGGGGCAAGCGGAAUUCCGGGUGUAGCGGUGGAAUGCGUUGAUAUCCGGGAGAACGCCGACGGCGAAGGCAGCUUGCUGGGUCGCUUCUGACGCUGAGGCACGAAAGCUAGGGGAG